Molecule: non-coding RNA, 174 nt
Filed under: Schnuerera ultunensis
Lineage: Bacteria; Bacillati; Bacillota; Tissierellia; Tissierellales; Tepidimicrobiaceae
Also listed under: 1 other name
Source: RNAcentral
AUUUCAUAGGAUAGUAUAGGUUGCUAUUUAGCAUUAAUAGGGAAACAGGUGAAAUUCCUGUGCGGUCCCGCCGCCGUAAGGUGUUUUAGUAGUUUAUAAUGCCACUGGGAAACUGGGAAGGCAAACUACUUCUAUAAACCAAGCCGGAAGACCUGCCUAUACUUGCGCAACGAU